AGUGAACGCUGGCGGUAGGCCUAACACAUGCAAGUCGAACGGCAGCACAGUAAGAGCUUGCUCUUACGGGUGGCGAGUGGCGGACGGGUGAGGAAUACAUCGGAAUCUACUUUUUCGUGGGGGAUAACGUAGGGAAACUUACGCUAAUACCGCAUACGACCUACGGGUGGAAGCAGGGGAUCUUCGGACCUUGCGCGAUUGAAUGAGCCGAUGUCGGAUUAGCUAGUUGGCGGGGUAAAGGCCCACCAAGGCGACGAUCCGUAGCUGGUCUGAGAGGAUGAUCAGCCACACUGGAACUGAGACACGGUCCAGACUCCUACGGGAGGCAGCAGUGGGGAAUAUUGGACAAUGGGCGCAAGCCUGAUCCAGCCAUGCCGCGUGGGUGAAGAAGGCCUUCGGGUUGUAAAGCCCUGUUGUUAGGAAAGAAAAGCAGCAUGUGAAUACCCCGCUGUUCUGACGGUACCCAAAGAAUAAGCACCGGCUAACUUCGUG
RNAcentral lists this ribosomal RNA (492 nucleotides) under uncultured bacterium. RNAcentral's name for it is "partial 16S ribosomal RNA". It matches the Rfam family "Bacterial small subunit ribosomal RNA", at positions 29 to 507 of the family's 1533-position model. The record is from RNAcentral.